Molecule: long non-coding RNA, 1385 nt
Filed under: Anser brachyrhynchus (Pink-footed goose)
Lineage: Eukaryota; Metazoa; Chordata; Aves; Anseriformes; Anatidae
Description: lncRNA (ENSABRG00000021056.1)
Source: RNAcentral
CCUAGCAGGUCUCAGGGCCUCCAAGAUGCAGGCAGAGAUGUCCAGGUAGGAUUUCCCAUGGCUUGCCUGGGCUUUUGUUCUGCUAUGAUGCAGCAAGAGGUCAGAACCAGAUGCUGAGAGGGGAAACACCACAGGGCUGGUGUUCAGCAACAAGGCACGCGCUUCUCCUCCCUGCUCCUGCCCUUAGCAGUACAGCUGUCACUGCAGCUUUGGAAAUGCCUCUGCAGACCACAAACCACUGCACUUGCACAAGGGACCUGCAUCCCCCUUCCCUUACAUCACGCCUGCAAGCUUUGCUGCCAAAAAAACUUUCAAAUUCCCAUUUGCACACUGGAGGCCAGGGGUUUCUCUCCUCCAGGCUCUGCCCCCGAAGCCGGGGCUAAAAGGGAGGAAGAUACAGCACAGAUAGGGCCGCAGAUCCAGGCAGAGAGCGUGGCAUUACCAUGGGGAAAAAGGCCGCCUUUGAGUCCUGAACUGAGAAAAAUGGAGCUGGGAGGCACCAAAAGAGACUAAAGGGGGUAUCACUGCUAAAGAUGGCCUGGACAUUACAUCUGCACAGCAAUGGGAGGACACCACGAGAGCCCAGCUCUGUGAACCCUCAGUGUCACCUACCAACCACAAGUGAGCCUCUGCAUGACAGCAAGACCCCAAAACCAAUAGCAGUGGGCAAGGCUUUUGUGGUGACUUGCAAGAGAAGUCAAUGUCAGAAGGAAUGUAAUGAAAUAUUCAUUCCUUCUGUUAAGGAAAUUCAGAGAAAGGCAGGAAGAAGGAACCAAAUGUGAGAUCAAGACAGGAAGAUGUGUCCUGCUCAUUUCAUUUGCAUUUCUGUAGCCCAGAGCAGGGAGAGGAGAGCUCUGGCUCCUCACCAUCGGGCAGAAUGAUUAGACAGCAGCAGAAGGAAAGUCCCAAAGAGCAUGAAGAGACAAGAAACUCCUCCUGAACCUGCAAGGGAGAAAAAUGUGGGUUUAUCUGAAUUUCAGCAAAGGGAGAACAUUUCGACAAGAAAUAUGUCUUUAUUGUCUCUCACAUAUGAGGGCACAGAAGCAGGCAAGAAGCCUGUCUGCUGAUUUUCCCCUGAAGUCCUGCUGCCCACUCUGGCAGCCCCAUCUCACCGCCUGCCCAGUGCUUCCCAUCAUCGAGCAGGAGCUGCCUUCUGAGCCCAGCACCAACAAAAUCAGCUUGGAGGAGGCACAUCCUUGUUCCCCCUCGAGGCGGCAGGACACUGGCGAUGCUGGAGGCAAUGCCCACCUCAGUUCCUUCGCCUCGCUCCAUGCGAUUGCCGAGCGGCACUGGCCGGCUGAAUUAAUGCUCGAGUGUUCCCCAUCAAAAAUGUUCUACGGGAGUGCAAAGCACUAAUAAAAUUGUUCCCCAUAUGGGAUUUUCAG